GACGAACGCUGGCGGCGUGCUUAACACAUGCAAGUCGAACGGAAAGGCCCUGCUUUUGUGGGGUGCUCGAGUGGCGAACGGGUGAGUAACACGUGAGUAACCUGCCCUUGACUUUGGGAUAACUUCAGGAAACUGGGGCUAAUACCGGAUAGGAGCUCCUGCUGCAUGGUGGGGGUUGGAAAGUUUCGGCGGUUGGGGAUGGACUCGCGGCUUAUCAGCUUGUUGGUGGGGUAGUGGCUUACCAAGGCUUUGACGGGUAGCCGGCCUGGGAGGGUGACCGGCCACAUUGGGACUGAGAUACGGCCCAGACUCCUACGGGAGGCAGCAGUGGGGAAUAUUGCCCAAUGGGCGGAAGCCUGAUGCAGCAACGCCGCGUGCGGGAUGACGGCCUUCGGGUUGUAAACCGCUUUCGCCUGUGACGAAGCGUGAGUGACGGUAAUGGGUAAAGAAGCACCGGCUAACUACGUG
RNAcentral lists this ribosomal RNA (468 nucleotides) under uncultured bacterium. RNAcentral's name for it is "partial 16S ribosomal RNA". It matches the Rfam family "Bacterial small subunit ribosomal RNA", at positions 28 to 507 of the family's 1533-position model. The record is from RNAcentral.